This 492-nucleotide ribosomal RNA is filed under the name uncultured bacterium. Its description in RNAcentral is "partial 16S ribosomal RNA". It matches the Rfam family "Bacterial small subunit ribosomal RNA", at positions 29 to 507 of the family's 1533-position model. The record is from RNAcentral.
AGUGAACGCUGGCGGUAGGCCUAACACAUGCAAGUCGAACGGCAGCACAGUAAGAGCUUGCUCUUACGGGUGGCGAAUGGCGGACGGGUGAGGAAUACAUCGGAAUCUACUUUUUCGUGGGGGAUAACGUAGGUAAACUUACGCUAAUACCGCAUACGACCUACGGGUGAAAGCAGGGGAUCUUCGGACCUUGCGCGAUUGAAUGAGCCGAUGUCGGAUUAGCUAGUUGGCGGGGUAAAGGCCCACCAAGGCGACGAUCCGUAGCUGGUCUGAGAGGAUGAUCGGCCACACGGGAACUGGGACACGGUCCAGACUCCUACGGGAGGCAGCAGUGGGGAAUAUUGGACAAUGGGCGCAAGCCUGAUCCAGCCAUACCGCGUGGGUGAAGAAGGCCUUCGGGUUGUAAAGCCCUUUUGUUGGGAAAGAAAAGCAGCAGGUUAAUACCCCGCUGUUCUGACGGUACCCAAAGAAUAAGCACCGGCUAACUUCGUG